RNAcentral lists this transfer RNA (70 nucleotides) under Burkholderia anthina. RNAcentral describes it as "tRNA-Leu". Lineage: Bacteria; Pseudomonadati; Pseudomonadota; Betaproteobacteria; Burkholderiales; Burkholderiaceae. The record is from RNAcentral.
CGGGCGGCCGGGCAGCCCGGCCGGCUCGCUCAGGUCGAGCCGCGGCGAGAUCGCGGCCCGUCCGGCCAGC